UUUUUUUUUAAAGAGAGAGUGAGAGAGAUAGAGGUAGAGAGAGAGAGAAUUUUUUAAUAUUUAUUUUUUAGUAUUUGGCGGACACAACAUCUUUGUUUGUAUGUGGUGCUGAGGAUCGAACCCGGGCCGCACGCAUGCCAGGCGAGCGCGCUACCGCUUGAGCCACAUCCCAGCCCCAAGCUGAAAUUUUUAAGCUUAAUGAGUUUUGCUUUACAAGAGUGAAGACAAAAUUAGACUCGGCUGAAUCACUUUUAAUGGAAACAUGAGCUUAGAGAGAUUUAUUCAACAUUGGUCAUUUGCUGGGCUCUGGAUUCUAGUUUUAAGUCCUUAAAAGUAUCAUUCUAUAGGGAUUGAAAGAGUACAGUGCAUCUUUAGGAAAAAAAAAAAAAAGUCUUGGCUUGGGGCUCUCCUGAAACCCCCAAAACAGUGGAAGUGAAGAAUGGAGAUUAGGGAUAAUCUAAUCUUUAGAUGAAGGGUAGUGACCUCUACUGUGACCACCAUGAAGCAUAUCUCCAGCUUUGUGGAAAACCAAAGUCUGGUCUGAUUGGCAUGAUAACUUUAUGAAGUAAACAGCUAGGAACCCCGCUUAUAGGUGAAGAAGUCUGAGAAGUAAGGUGACUUGAGUAAGUUCAUGAGUGACUGAAUCAAGCACGUUUAAGCCCUAGAGGUAUCAGAAAGCAGGCCUUCAGAGGACAAGUAGGACUGACUGAAAGGUCAUGAAUCCAGAAGUCUAACUUCCAGCAUUGAGGUUAUCUUUUAUUUGAAUUGUUACCUAUUUGCAUAUUGCCUGUCCCAUGUAUGCUCCCCAAGAAUAAGGAGGUGUUUUUCCCCCAUUGCUGUAUUCUAGUACUUAGAAUAGGUACUCAGUAAAUACUUGUUAAAUGAAUUGUUAAGUGUAAGCUAUGUAUAUUAUAGAGUUCUGAUUUGAUUUCCCAAUUUUAACCUAGACCAGAGAGUGAAGAAUGCAGAUGUGGAGGAAGUGAUUAAAACAUGAAUAGGAAUUUAAAAAAGUAGAAAAUGUCACAAAGAAAAAUUGGGAGUAGCAAUCAGUAUAAGACAGAUAAAUCAAGAGGAACAAAGGCAUUGAAGUUUGAAGAAAAAUACUAUAGAUGAGAACUAAGGUUUUUAUUUAUUUAUUUUUUUAUAUGGUGCUGAGGAUCAAAUCCAGUACCUCAUAUGUGCGAGGCAAGUGCUCUAUCACUGAGCCACAAAGCUAUAUCGACGUGCAUUUAUGAAUUCCAGUUCUAAAUCUGGCACAAAUUUUUCAUGUUUCCCAUUGAAUCUCCAAGUGGAUAUUUUCCUCUUCAGUAAUCAAAGUGCCAUUAUCAAGAGUAAGUGCUAUGGGGGGCUGGGGUGGUGGCUCAAUGGUAGAGCACUUACCUAGCAUGUGUGAGGCACUGGGUUUGAUUUUCAGCACUGUAUAUAAAAUAAAAUCAUGGUCCAUUGACAACUAACAAAAAUAUGUAUAUGGUAAAUGCCAUGUCUCAGUGUGGCAGAAAUAUUUCUAAAAUGCUGAGCUGAAUGUACUGGCACUCAAUGCAGCUGUGGUGCCUGUGGUAUCAGUAGAAACUUCUGAAAAGUAAUUUGGUGGCUGAUGGUAUAGUAGGAAUACCAUGUAUUUUGGAGCAAGGCCAAUCUGGGCUGAAGUAAUGCCUGUCAUAUUAGCCAAGUGCCUUGGGUAAGUCACUUUUCUGAAUCUGUUUCCCCAUCUGUAUAAUGGGGAUAAUAUUACAUGAUAGCCCUCACAGGGCUAUCAUGAGUACUAAACGAGAAUGCAGUCGAUGAAAAGUGCCAAUAUUGCAGGGCGUAGAGAGGCACUGUGAUGAGUGGGUCCCCUCAGAAAUGGGUAUAUCGCAGUUAGGUGCUGCUCUAUGGAGAGUGAAGAAUGAGGACUUUUUAGUCGCAGAAGAUGGGUUAUGACAGGUGCGAGUUCGGCGUAUUUAGGUUGUUAGCUAGCUUGUAGGCCUGCAAAGCCUAAUAUGGGCAUUUUGUUGUCUAACAAGCAAGAAUGUCAUGCAAAUACGUGUUCACCUGCGAAACUCUACCUUAGAGAUUCUGGCAAACAUCCGAUUGCACCUGACACGCCCUCAGAACAAAUGCUGUUGCUAUAGUAAGCCAGCCUCCUGAUCCCUCAAAGAAACAAACCAUUAAAUUCGCUAGCAGCAUGUCGGAUUUCCUCUCUAGUUCCAACAUUGGUGCUUUUUAGGGAGUGAAUGGGAUGAAAGGGACCAAAUAGCUUGGAUUUCAAGGAUCAAGCC
RNAcentral lists this long non-coding RNA (2258 nucleotides) under Marmota monax (woodchuck). Lineage: Eukaryota; Metazoa; Chordata; Mammalia; Rodentia; Sciuridae. The record is from RNAcentral.